AGAGUUUGAUCCUGGCUCAGGAUGAACGCUAGCGGCAGGCUUAAUACAUGCAAGUCGAGGGGCAGCGCAGUGUAGCAAUACAUGGGCGGCGACCGGCAAACGGGUGCGGAACACGUACGCAAUCUACCCAAAACUGAUGAAUAGCCCUCCGAAAGGAGGAUUAAUACAUCGUAACCUAAUGAAGUGGCAUCGCUUUAUUAGUAUAGCUCCGGCGGUUUUGGAUGAGCGUGCGCCUGAUUAGGUAGUUGGCGGGGUAACGGCCCACCAAGCCUGCGAUCAGUAACUGGUGUGAGAGCACGACCAGUCACACGGGCACUGAGACACGGGCCCGACUCCUACGGGAGGCAGCAGUAAGGAAUAUUGGUCAAUGGACGCAAGUCUGAACCAGCCAUGCCGCGUGAAGGAUGAAGGUCCUCUGGAUUGUAAACUUCUUUUAUAUGGGACGAAACCUCUUUUUCUAAGGAGACUGACGGUACCAUAGGAAUAAGCACCGGCUAACUCCGUGCCAGCAGCCGCGGUAAUACGGAGGGUGCAAGCGUUAUCCGGAUUCACUGGGUUUAAAGGGUGCGUAGGAGGGCAGGUAAGUCAGUGGUGAAAUCUUCGAGCUUAACUCGGAAACUGCCGUUGAUACUAUCUGUCUUGAAUACCGUGGAGAUGAGCGGAAUAUGUCAUGUAGCGGUGAAAUGCUUAGAUAUGACAUAGAACACCAAUUGCGAAGGCAGCUCGUUACACGAAUAUUGACUCUGAGGCACGAAAGCGUGGGGAUCAAACAGGAUUAGAUACCCUGGUAGUCG
RNAcentral lists this ribosomal RNA (794 nucleotides) under uncultured bacterium. RNAcentral describes it as "bacterial SSU rRNA". It matches the Rfam family "Bacterial small subunit ribosomal RNA", at positions 8 to 796 of the family's 1533-position model. The record is from RNAcentral.